Raphanus sativus (radish) is the source of this 1000-nucleotide RNA transcript. RefSeq lists it as uncharacterized. The record is from RefSeq and is a predicted model, not a curated record. NCBI's taxonomy places the organism in Eukaryota, Viridiplantae, Streptophyta, Magnoliopsida, Brassicales, Brassicaceae. The transcript is spliced from 4 exons.
AAAAAAUAGAGCUCAGUCAUAUUUCUCGUCCUUCACUGUUGAUAUCUAAUCACCAUCUAAAAAGACACAUUAAAGUUCAGCAGAUACGUUUUGGGAGAACAGAAGAACGGUCAAUCAAAACAGAGAAUUUCGAUUUCAAAUUUUGAGGUUAUGUUCUACACUCAUAGAUCUAUAUUUAUCAGAAAGCGGAUCAUCAUUUGGAGUUUUCAUCUAAUAGUUAUGGUUAUUUCUUUGGGGCUGUUCGUUGUAGAUGGGAUCCGCCAACAGUCAACUUCAUCGGUGUUUUCCCGUCGAUCCAGAAGGAACCAGGAAACGAGCGAGAUAUCAUUGGAAAGCUCUUACUGUCAGAUUUCUAUAUCAUCUUUUAGAUUCUCAAACCGAGAGCCAGUUCCGAUCAGUCUCGGUGUAAGGGAGAAACGAUCAAUCUAAACGAAAGAUUUAAAUCUGUAAAUUUGUCAUUAAGUAGAUAAUUCUUUUAUCUGUCUUCUCCAACAAGCGGAUUGUCAUUUCGAGUUAUUUUCUGAGAGUUAUUCUUGGUUUCGUGGGAGGUGUUGGUACAGUCUGCGUUUGCAACCAGUGUGGAGAUGAAGCUAUUUUGGUUAAUCAAAUGGUGCCCGAUCAGAGUAAACUCGGUGGCUACGGACAAAGGACAUAUAGGAAUACAUUAUGACCGGAGGGAUCAAAACGUUAACGAAAGUUCGAGAAUUGCUAUCUUAGAGGUGUUAAGGUCCAUUCGGCGUUUUCUCAAGUUUUCUUCAGAACCCGUGGCAAAGGUGAGACAGACGAGUAUAUGAUAUUUGGACGGAUUGGUGCUAUUGGACUUUUUAUUCGGAUUUUUAUUUGGGCUUUGGGUGAGUGGAGUUGUGUAUAUGGGCUUUUAUGUUGUGAGAUAUUGUUGGUGGCGUGUUAUUCUCCGGAUAUGAGGUGACGGGUGUCACAAGAAUAUUUUUUAAAUAGCUUCAAAGUUUUAAGUAUAUUUAAUAUUAUAUAAUUAUUAAUA